Non-coding RNA from Plectropomus leopardus (leopard coralgrouper), 436 nucleotides. Lineage: Eukaryota; Metazoa; Chordata; Actinopteri; Perciformes; Serranidae. The record is from RefSeq and is a predicted model, not a curated record.
ACAAUCCAGAGACUCAGCUGUUUUCGGUUGCAGACUGUGGACGAGAGCCAUUUCUCCGCCGCCGACAACUAUUUCGGAUGUUUAGAUGAUCUACGUCCACCUCGAUGAGCUCCCCGAUGCCAAGAUCUGAAAACAAACCAGCGCAGGCUCAAGCCCGUGCAUAUCUGGGUCCUCUGAGGCAUCCAGCAGCAUUUUCUUCACAAGCAGUCCUGAUGGAAAAAAUCAAACACGAGAGGAUACAAAGUCGUGCGGUCCUUCUGCCUCCACGUCUUAAAAGCUGCCCCGAGAAUCCCAUGGAUGAAAAGCACAUCUGCUUUGAUUGGCUGGCUGUAAAAUAAACAUAAUGUCAAAGAUACUGUUUGCCAGAGCGCGGGCUGCGUGAGACGCCUGCAUGACAUGAGGAGACUGCAUCAUCUCAGCCAGGACAGAUACCCAG